This 440-nucleotide ribosomal RNA is filed under the name uncultured bacterium. RNAcentral's name for it is "partial 16S ribosomal RNA". It matches the Rfam family "Bacterial small subunit ribosomal RNA", at positions 338 to 795 of the family's 1533-position model. The record is from RNAcentral.
CCUACGGGUGGCAGCAGUGGGGAAUAUUGCACAAUGGGGGAAACCCUGAUGCAGCGACGCCGCGUGAGUGAAGAAGGACUUCGGUAUGUAAAGCUCUAUCAGCAGGGAAGAAAAUGACGGUACGUGAUUAAGAAGCCGCGGACAACUACGUGCCAGCUGCCGCGGUAAGACGUAGGGGGCAAGCGUUAUCCGGAUGUACUGGGUGUAAAGGGAGCGUAGACGGCAGGACAAGUCUGGAGUGAAAUGCCGGGGUUUAACCCCGGAACUGCUUUUGAAACUGUGUGGCUAGAGUGCAGGAGAGGUACGUGGAAUUCCUGGUGUAGCGGUGAAAUGCGUAGAUAUUAGGAGGAACACCAGUGGCGAAGGCGGCUUACUGGCGUGUAACUGACGUUGAGGCUCGAAAGCGUGGGGAGCAAACAGGAUUAGAUACCCUAGUAGUC